Molecule: small nucleolar RNA, 138 nt
Organism: Tachyglossus aculeatus (Australian echidna)
Lineage: Eukaryota; Metazoa; Chordata; Mammalia; Monotremata; Tachyglossidae
Source: RefSeq, a predicted model, not a curated record
UUCUUUGCAGGAUUGCACCUGGAGAGUUUUCAGUACUCUACCAGUCUUGGCUACAGGAGGGAGAGUCAAGCAGAGGCAUACCCAUUCCAUUCCUAGCUUGGGCAGUGGCUAGCGAAUGGGAAGUAAUCUGCUACAAGU